Molecule: non-coding RNA, 111 nt
Filed under: Candidatus Nealsoniibacteriota
Lineage: Bacteria
Description: Candidatus Nealsonbacteria SAM-I sequence
Rfam family: SAM riboswitch aptamer (S box leader)
About the family: The SAM riboswitch is found upstream of a number of genes which code for proteins involved in methionine or cysteine biosynthesis in Gram-positive bacteria. The SAM riboswitch acts at the level of transcription termination control. The predicted structure consists of a complex stem-loop region followed by a single stem loop terminator region.
Source: RNAcentral
AAUUUAUUAAGAGACGGCGAGAGAUCUGGCUCUGUGACCCGUCGACAACUUGUCCUUCGACUACGCUCGGGAUAAAGUGCCACAUCCAGCCCUGCAAAGGGAAGAUAAAAG